UAAUCCAUAGAGCCAAAGUCAUGUCAAUAGAAGAAACAAAAACGUCUAUCAAGUGUGAUGUUUAAUGAUUCGAGUAGCUGCGUCCUUAGCAACUUUUGGACGAUUAGAAGAAGAAGAGGAAAUAGCGGCGUUGGACGUAUUUACCGCUUCUGUUUUGGGAUUCACAUUUUUUUCAGCUUGCUGGAUUUUGCUAAUGUAAUUUUUAACACGCUGCAAUUCUUGCAUUACGGGUCGCUCACUAGCGUCUAUUCCAUUUAACUUAUAAAAAGAAUAGAGAGUAGAAUUAAUGGCAUAGGACAUGGUGAUAUAUAACUUUGCUUGUUCCAAUUCGGAUUUUCCUUCAGCAAGUUCAAAAAUUGAUUCAGCAUCCUUCAAUGGUUUAAGAACAUCUUCCACGUUAUCUAAUUGCUUAUUUAAUCUUUCAAACAGCUCAGAAUACUCUGGGUCCAUGUUUAACAGACAGAGAGACAGGCUGUGGAUAUAUGCGAAUUCUACCUUCUGUCCUCAAUUCCAAAAUGUAGAAAAACGUCGAAAGCAGGUAUGUAACACAAUAUACCGUGCCC
Molecule: non-coding RNA, 563 nt
Organism: Schizosaccharomyces pombe (fission yeast)
Lineage: Eukaryota; Fungi; Ascomycota; Schizosaccharomycetes; Schizosaccharomycetales; Schizosaccharomycetaceae
Source: the annotation of a GenBank genome assembly